Choloepus didactylus (southern two-toed sloth) is the source of this 283-nucleotide long non-coding RNA. RefSeq lists it as uncharacterized. Lineage: Eukaryota; Metazoa; Chordata; Mammalia; Pilosa; Megalonychidae. The record is from RefSeq and is a predicted model, not a curated record. The transcript is spliced from 3 exons.
ACCUGCCCUGCUCUGAUCUCCCCUCUUCAAAGGUUUUGCACAUCAGUGGUGCCUCAGGUGGAACUUGGUGUCAUCUGCUGGAAAUGGAAUGGUUUGGAUGCAGAGAGUCCUGGUACCCUUGUCCCUCAGAGACAAUGACACUGGAGCCCUGGCUGAAGGGUGUGGUCAUGCAGGUGCCGGUAGAAGCUUGAGGACGUGAGAACUGCUAGACAUAAAGUUAUCUGGAGAUCCCACUUGAUUACCACAUUUGCAAUUUCUUGUGCAAGAUUAAGCACCUUAGGCC